AAAUUGAAGAGUUUGAUCAUGGCUCAGAUUGAACGCUGGCGGCAGGCCUAACACAUGCAAGUCGAACGGUAACAGGAAGCAGCUUGCUGCUUCGCUGACGAGUGGCGGACGGGUGAGUAAUGUCUGGGAAACUGCCUGAUGGAGGGGGAUAACUACUGGAAACGGUAGCUAAUACCGCAUAACGUCGCAAGACCAAAGAGGGGGACCUUCGGGCCUCUUGCCAUCGGAUGUGCCCAGAUGGGAUUAGCUAGUAGGUGGGGUAAC
RNAcentral lists this ribosomal RNA (264 nucleotides) under Escherichia coli. RNAcentral's name for it is "partial 16S ribosomal RNA". It matches the Rfam family "Bacterial small subunit ribosomal RNA", at positions 1 to 261 of the family's 1533-position model. RNAcentral also lists the same sequence under 2 other names. Lineage: Bacteria; Pseudomonadati; Pseudomonadota; Gammaproteobacteria; Enterobacterales; Enterobacteriaceae. The record is from RNAcentral.